Molecule: ribosomal RNA, 253 nt
Filed under: uncultured bacterium
Lineage: Bacteria
Description: partial 16S ribosomal RNA
Rfam family: Bacterial small subunit ribosomal RNA
Source: RNAcentral
UACGUAGGGUGCGAGCGUUAAUCGGAAUUACUGGGCGUAAAGUGUGCGCAGGCGGCCGCGCAAGUCGAGUGUGAAAGCCCCGAGCUUAACUUGGGAACUGCGCUCGAAGCUACGUGGCUGGAGUGUGGCAGAGGAAGGUGGAAUUCCAGGUGUAGCGGUGAAAUGCGUAGAGAUCUGGAGGAAGACCGGUGGCGAAGGCGGCCUGCUGGGCAGUUACUGACACUGAGGCGCGACAGCGUGGGGAGCAAACAGG